Molecule: non-coding RNA, 365 nt
Organism: Pelobates cultripes (western spadefoot toad)
Lineage: Eukaryota; Metazoa; Chordata; Amphibia; Anura; Pelobatidae
Source: the annotation of a GenBank genome assembly
AUGCCCCACCGUGUCCUCUCACUUGCUAGUUCUGCCAUGCGCUGGAGGUACUCGGCCACUAGGUUCCUCGAGAACUGUACAUAUUUCUCAGCUGAGUUGGAUCAGAAGAAAGCCAGCCGCACCUUAAACUCUCUGUCAAACUCUGCCUCACAGUAGCUGGGCGCCAUGCUUGUUUCAAGAUGUGCAGGAGUUCUAGGUGUAUUCUGGAUGUUCCCCCAAGACUAGGAAGCCAUCCCACUUCUACCACCAAUGUAAUGGAGCUCCCUGUACCACUGGCUGGGUACCUCCACCAAGGACCGCUUCCUAGCUGGAACAGGGGACAAACUGCAGCACUUCUCAAAUCCUUAUGCUAGGUAACUAACAGG